This 463-nucleotide ribosomal RNA is filed under the name uncultured bacterium. RNAcentral's name for it is "partial 16S ribosomal RNA". It matches the Rfam family "Bacterial small subunit ribosomal RNA", at positions 339 to 795 of the family's 1533-position model. The record is from RNAcentral.
CUACGGGUCGCUGCAGUGGGGAAUAUUGCACAAUGGGCGCAAGCCUGAUGCAGCCAUGCCGCGUGUAUGAAGAAGGCCUUCGGGUUGCAAAGUACUUUCAGCGGGGAGGAAGGGAGUAAAGUUAAUACCUUUGCUCAUUGACGUUACCCGCAGAAGAAGCACCGGCUACUCCGUGCCAGCAGCCGCGGUAAUACGGAGGGUGCAAGCGUUAAUCGGAAUUACUGGGCGUAAAGCGCACGCAGGCGGUUUGUUAAGUCAGAUGUGAAAUCCCCGGGCUCAACCUGGGAACUGCAUCUGAUACUGGCAAGCUUGAGUCUCGUAGAGGGGGGUAGAAUUCCAGGUGUAGCGGUGAAAUGCGUAGAGAUCUGGAGGAAUACCGGUGGCGAAGGCGGCCCCCUGGACGAAGACUGACGCUCAGGUGCGAAAGCGUGGGGAGCAAACAGGAUUAGAUACCCUUGUAGUC